UACCAAGCCUUUGAUGUUGGACUUCCCAGCCUCCAAAUUUUGAAUAAAGUCAUCAAAGAACCUAGGGAGGUUGAAACUACAAAAUGGAAGAAGCCUGGGAUCACACAGGAAUCCUUGGAGAAACACUGCCCGGGAGAGCUGCAUGACCAAGAACACUUGUAGUAGAUUUUAUUUGCUUUAUUAAAUUAUGCCUCUGGAA
This is a long non-coding RNA of Chinchilla lanigera (long-tailed chinchilla), 199 nucleotides long. RefSeq lists it as uncharacterized. The record is from RefSeq and is a predicted model, not a curated record. The transcript has 2 exons. NCBI's taxonomy places the organism in Eukaryota, Metazoa, Chordata, Mammalia, Rodentia, Chinchillidae.